UACGGAGGGCGCAAGCGUUGUUCGGAAUCACUGGGCGUAAAGCGCGUGUAGGCGGCUUGGUAAGUCGGAUGUGAAAUCCCGGAGCUCAACUCCGGAACUGCACCCGAUACUGCCUCGCUAGAGUCCCGGAGAGGAUGGCGGAAUUUCCGGUGUAGAGGUGAAAUUCGUAGAUAUCGGAAGGAACGCCGGUGGCGAAAGCGACGUGCUGGACCUCUUCUGACGCUGAGGCGCGAAAGCUAGGGGAGCAAACGGG
RNAcentral lists this ribosomal RNA (253 nucleotides) under uncultured bacterium. Its description in RNAcentral is "partial 16S ribosomal RNA". It matches the Rfam family "Bacterial small subunit ribosomal RNA", at positions 524 to 776 of the family's 1533-position model. The record is from RNAcentral.